RNAcentral lists this ribosomal RNA (255 nucleotides) under uncultured bacterium. Its description in RNAcentral is "partial 16S ribosomal RNA". It matches the Rfam family "Bacterial small subunit ribosomal RNA", at positions 99 to 354 of the family's 1533-position model. The record is from RNAcentral.
CGGACGGGUGAGUAACGCGUGAGGAACCUGCCUCAGAGUGGGGGAUAACACACCGAAAGGUGUGCUAAUACCGCAUAACAUAUGGGAGGGGCAUCCCUUUCAUAUCAAAGAUUUAUUGCUCUGAGAUGGCCUCGCGUCCAAUUAGCUAGUUGGCGGGGUAACGGCCCACCAAGGCGACGAUUGGUAGCCGGACUGAGAGGUUGAACGGCCACAUUGGGACUGAGACACGGCCCAGACUCCUACGGGAGGCAGCAG